UGAAUACGAGACGCUAAGGCGUCGAAGUAGUGUAUGUCAUACUUCCAAGAAAAGCUUGCACUGUCAUAGAUAAAAAACGCCUGUACCAUAACCGACACAGGUGGGUAGGUAGAGUAUACUAAGGGGCGCGAGAUAACUCUCUCUAAGGAACUCGGCAAAAUAACUCCGUAACUUCGGGAGAAGGAGUGCCUUAUUCUUAAGGUUGCAAUAACAAGAUCCAAGCAACUGUUUAUCAAAAACACAGGUCUCCGCUAAGUCGUAAGACGAUGUAUGGGGGCUGACGCCUGCCCAGUGCCAGAAGGUUAAAGAAGCUGGUUAGCAUUUGCGAAGCUAGUAACUGAAGCCCUGGUGAACGGCGGCCGUAACAAUAACGGUCCUAAGGUAGCGAAAUUCCUUGUCGGGUAAGUUCCGACCCGCACGAAAGGCGUAAUGAUUUGGAUACUGUCUCGGAGAGGGGCUCGGUGAAAUAGACUUGUCUGUGAAGAUGCGGACUACCUGCACCAGGACAGAAAGACCCUAUGAAGCUUUACUGUAACUUGAAAUUGAAAUUGGACUUUAUUCGCGCAGUAUAGGUGGGAGGCGUUGAUUAUAAUCUUGCGGGAUUAUUGGAGCCAUUAGUGAGAUACCACUCUUGUAAUGUUAGAUUUCUAACUUUGAAUCAUUAUCUGGUCAAAGAACAGUUUCAGGCGGGCAGUUUGACUGGGGCGGUCGCCUCCUAAACGGUAACGGAGGCGUACAAAGGUUUCCUCUGAACGGUUAGAAAUCGUAUCUAGAGUGUAAAGGCAUAAGGAAGCUUGACUGUGAGACCUACAAGUCGAGCAGGGACGAAAGUCGGCCUUAGUGAUCUGACGGUACUGAGUGGAAAGGCCGUCACUCAACGGAUAAAAGUUACUCUAGGAUAACAGGCUGAUCUCCCCCAAGAGUUCACAUCGACGGGGAGGUUUGGCACCUCGAUGUCGGCUCAUCGCAUCCUGGGGCGGUAGUACGUCCCAAGGGUUGGGCUGUUCGCCCAUGAAAGCGGUACGCGAGCUGGGUUCAGAACGUCGUGAGACAGUUCGGUCCAUAUCCGGUGUAGGCGUUAGAAUAUUGAGAGGAGCCUUCUUUAGUACGAGAGGACCGAGAAGGACAUACCUCUGGUGUACCAGUUAUCGUGCCAACGGUAAACGCUGGGUAGCUAUGUAUGGAGUGGAUAACCGCUGAAAGCAUCUAAGUGGGAAGCCCACCUCAAGAUAAGUAUUCUCAC
Molecule: ribosomal RNA, 1243 nt
Filed under: metagenome
Description: bacterial LSU rRNA
Rfam family: Bacterial large subunit ribosomal RNA
Source: RNAcentral